GGGUACCUGUGUAAUAUGAGCAAAGUGUAAAGCCUCUUGGUAGAUGAGCUGUGUCUUAUUUUGAGAAUCAUCAAGAUCAGAUAAUACAACGAUGCUGAACAACUUUAGAAGAAAAGGAGGCACUAACGAGGGAACCUCAGAGCACAGCGAAGAUGUAAUUGGAUUUUUAUACACCUGUUCACUAAAGAUGGCUCAAUGAUAGUUCCUGAACGAACACAGAC
This 221-nucleotide long non-coding RNA is filed under the name Numida meleagris (helmeted guineafowl). Its description in RNAcentral is "lncRNA (ENSNMEG00000010154.1)". The record is from RNAcentral. Lineage: Eukaryota; Metazoa; Chordata; Aves; Galliformes; Numididae.